This 414-nucleotide ribosomal RNA is filed under the name Panulirus ornatus. RNAcentral's name for it is "partial 16S ribosomal RNA". It matches the Rfam family "Bacterial large subunit ribosomal RNA", at positions 1949 to 2558 of the family's 2925-position model. The record is from RNAcentral. Lineage: Eukaryota; Metazoa; Arthropoda; Malacostraca; Decapoda; Palinuridae.
UGCUAAGGUAGCAUAAUAAUUUGUCCUUUAAUUGGGGACUGGUAUGAACGGUUGAACAAGAAAUUAACUGUCUCUAUUGCAAACUUUGAACUUUACAUUUAAGUGAAAAGGCUUAAAUAGUAUAGGGGGACGAUAAGACCCUAUAAAUCUUUAUACUUUAACUAAUAAAUUUUAAAGAUUAGUUGCAAAUUUAGUGUUAUUAAGUUAAAAUAUUUUGUUGGGGCGACAGGAGUAUAAUAAGUAACUGCUUUGUUUAUAAAUUUAAUUAUUUUUAAUGUGUAAAUUGUAUUGAUCCUCUGUUGGAGAAAUCAGACUAAGUUACUUUAGGGAUAACAGCGUAAUCUUUUUUGAGAGUCCAUAUCGAAAAAAUGGUUUCCGACCUCGAUGUUGAAUUAAAGAUCCUUGAUGGCGUAG